GUGGGGAAUAUUGGACAAUGGGGGGAACCCUGAUCCAGCCAUGCCGCGUGUGUGAAGAAGGCCUUUUGGUUGUAAAGCACUUUAAGCGAGGAGGAGGCUACCGAGAUUAAUACUCUUGGAUAGUGGACGUUACUCGCAGAAUAAGCACCGGCUAACUCUGUGCCAGCAGCCGCGGUAAUACAGAGGGUGCAAGCGUUAAUCGGAUUUACUGGGCGUAAAGCGCGCGUAGGUGGCCAAUUAAGUCAAAUGUGAAAUCCCCGAACUUAACUUGGGAAUUGCAUUCGAUACUGGUUGGCUAGAGUAUGGGAGAGGAUGGUAGAAUUCCAGGUGUAGCGGUGAAAUGCGUAGAGAUCUGGAGGAAUACCGAUGGCGAAGGCAGCCAUCUGGCCUAAUACUGACACUGAGGUGCGAAAGCAUGGGGAGCAAACAGGAUUAGAAACCCCGGUAGUCC
This 451-nucleotide ribosomal RNA is filed under the name uncultured bacterium. RNAcentral describes it as "partial 16S ribosomal RNA". It matches the Rfam family "Bacterial small subunit ribosomal RNA", at positions 354 to 796 of the family's 1533-position model. The record is from RNAcentral.